RNAcentral lists this long non-coding RNA (217 nucleotides) under Lathyrus oleraceus (garden pea). Its description in RNAcentral is "Pisum sativum (pea) long non-coding RNA (PSAT_LNC012832)". Lineage: Eukaryota; Viridiplantae; Streptophyta; Magnoliopsida; Fabales; Fabaceae. The record is from RNAcentral.
GAAGAACCAAAUGCUUGUAAUUUGAAAUUCAUCUGAUACAUCUUUAAAGACCUCUCUAAGUUCAUCUACAACAUGAUCAUUGUGAAGCUGUUAUUUUGAACCUGUGACUUGUGGAAUUCAUCUGUUACAUGGGCUAUUUUGGAGAAGAUUAUGGAAUGGAUAAGCUUGGAUGUGGUCAUCUUUAUUUGAUGCCUUGCUCUUCAAGAUAAUAUAAUUG